This 552-nucleotide long non-coding RNA is filed under the name Nicotiana benthamiana. RNAcentral describes it as "long non-coding RNA (NBEN_LNC016797)". Lineage: Eukaryota; Viridiplantae; Streptophyta; Magnoliopsida; Solanales; Solanaceae. The record is from RNAcentral.
CCUCCGAUGUGGGACAACUCAACACCCCCCAUCACGCCCAGAUCUCUGGAGCGUGGACAACAUAAAUGGGGGCCCAACAUCGGGACCAAGGACCUCAAAUCCCUCCAUUGUGGGACAACUCAAAACCCCCUCUCACACCCAGAUCUCUGGAGCGUGGACAACAUAAAUGGGGGCCACAACAUCGGUAACAAUAAUUGGGAUGAGCCUGGCUCUGAUACCAUGAUAAGAAUGGACCUUGGGCCUAACUCAACCCCAAAAGCUAGCUUAUGAGGUGAGGAUUGCCCAAGACAUAUAAGGAGACCAAGGACCUCAAAUCCCUCCAUUGUGGGACAACUCAAAACCCCCUCUCACACCCAGAUCUCUGGAGCGUGGACAACAUAAAUGGGGGCCACAACAUCGGUAACAAUAAUUGGGAUGAGCCUGGCUCUGAUACCAUGAUAAGAAUGGACCUUGGGCCUAACUUAACCCAAAAGCUAGCUUAUUAGGUGAGGAUUGCCCAAGCCAUAUAAGGAGACGAAGGACCUCAAAUCCCUCCGAUGUGGGACAACUCAA